AAAGCUCAAAUUUGAAAUCUGGCACCUUCGGUGUCCGAGUUGUAAUUUGAAGAAGGUAACUUUGGAGUUGGCUCUUGUCUAUGUUCCUUGGAACAGGACGUCACAGAGGGUGAGAAUCCCGUGCGAUGAGAUGCCCAAUUCUAUGUAAAGUGCUUUCGAAGAGUCGAGUUGUUUGGGAAUGCAGCUCUAAGUGGGUGGUAAAUUCCAUCUAAAGCUAAAUAUUGGCGAGAGACCGAUAGCGAACAAGUACAGUGAUGGAAAGAUGAAAAGAACUUUGAAAAGAGAGUGAAAAAGUACGUGAAAUUGUUGAAAGGGAAGGGCUUGAGAUCAGACUUGGUAUUUUGCGAUCCUUUCCUUCUUGGUUGGGUUCCUCGCAGCUUACUGGGCCAGCAUCGGUUUGGAUGGUAGGAUAAUGACUAAGGAAUGUGGCUCUACUUCGGUGGAGUGUUAUAGCCUUGGUUGAUACUGCCUGUCUAGACCGAGGACUGCGUCUUUGACUAGGAUGUUGGCAUAAUGAUCUUAAGCCACCCGUCUUGAACCACGGACC
Molecule: ribosomal RNA, 547 nt
Filed under: Debaryomyces subglobosus
Lineage: Eukaryota; Fungi; Ascomycota; Pichiomycetes; Serinales; Debaryomycetaceae
Description: LSU rRNA
Rfam family: Eukaryotic large subunit ribosomal RNA
Source: RNAcentral